This 142-nucleotide small nuclear RNA is filed under the name Belgica antarctica. RNAcentral's name for it is "U4 spliceosomal RNA". It matches the Rfam family "U4 spliceosomal RNA". Rfam says of the family: U4 small nuclear RNA (U4 snRNA) is a component of the major U2-dependent spliceosome. Lineage: Eukaryota; Metazoa; Arthropoda; Insecta; Diptera; Chironomidae. The record is from RNAcentral.
AACCUUGUGCAGAGGCAUUAUUCUAACCGAUGAAGUAUUAACUGAGGUGGAAUUAUUGCGAAUUGAAAACUUAACCAAUACCUCGUCACGUGACUCUUGAAAUAUAGCGUCAAGUGACAAUUUUUGGGAGACUCUAACGAGU